GACCCCAGGUCAGGUAGGGUCACCUGCUGAGUUUAAGCAUAUCAAUA
This 47-nucleotide ribosomal RNA is filed under the name Galanthus nivalis (common snowdrop). Its description in RNAcentral is "partial 26S ribosomal RNA". The record is from RNAcentral. Lineage: Eukaryota; Viridiplantae; Streptophyta; Magnoliopsida; Asparagales; Amaryllidaceae.